AGUGGGAUAGCUGGGUCAAAUAGUGGUUCCAUUCCAAGUUUCCAAGGAAUAUCCAUACUGCUUUCCAGAUUGGUUGUACCAAUUUGCAGUCCCGUCAGCAGU
RNAcentral lists this microRNA precursor (102 nucleotides) under Marmota monax (woodchuck). The record is from RNAcentral. Lineage: Eukaryota; Metazoa; Chordata; Mammalia; Rodentia; Sciuridae.